Long non-coding RNA from Corvus hawaiiensis (hawaiian crow), 624 nucleotides. RefSeq lists it as uncharacterized. NCBI's taxonomy places the organism in Eukaryota, Metazoa, Chordata, Aves, Passeriformes, Corvidae. The transcript has 4 exons. The record is from RefSeq and is a predicted model, not a curated record.
UUCUCAGAGGCCACUACAGUUUGAAAAAAUUGCCAGUCUUGCUGUCCUGCUCACUUCCCAAAAUGUGACAAGCAAAGACAACCUUGUACGGAGCUCCACCAUCACAUUCUCAAUUGGCUAAGCACUGGUACAGCUCCAGAAGUGAACACAGGCAGUUGUUUCUCCCCAUAUGCUGGACCUUGAGAGAGGAACGUACCUUCGGAAGUAACCAGCGCCCUUCAAAUCCUUAUCUAAAGGAAUCCCACAGGAAACCUUGGAGCUCUUACAAAAAUUUGGACUGUCUGUUAUUUAUCAGAUUUACAAGGACACUAGUCUUUGACUAUCAAGCCAUCCUGAAGCCACUAACUGUUCUCGUCCCUUCUCCUUGCUUUUAACAGUAGAGAGUGAUAUCUUGUGCACACUAUUUUUAAAUAAACAAUCCACAACAACAGAGGAUAAGUGAGUUGACAACAGAGGUGGAUCUGCUCCAAAACUCCAGUUCUGAACGUAUCUGAACUUCAGCAAGUUCAAAGAGAAAUGAAAUACACCUGGGACAAUGGCUAAAAGGAGACCUGUCUGUCUGCAAGAGUUGGAGGAUUUUAGCAGUAUGGAGGGCUUGUAUCCAUCUCCUACAUAAAUGGAAUU